RNAcentral lists this ribosomal RNA (248 nucleotides) under uncultured bacterium. RNAcentral's name for it is "partial 16S ribosomal RNA". It matches the Rfam family "Bacterial small subunit ribosomal RNA", at positions 523 to 769 of the family's 1533-position model. The record is from RNAcentral.
AUACGUAGGUGGCAAGCGUUGUCCGGAUUUACUGGGUGUAAAGGGACGUGUAGCCGGGAAGGCAAGUCAGAUGUGAAAUCUGGAGGCUCAACCUCCAAACUGCAUUUGAAACUGCUUUUCUUGAGUGUCGGAGAGGUAAUCGGAAUUCCUUGUGUAGCGGUGAAAUGCGUAGAUAUAAGGAAGAACACCAGUGGCGAAGGCGGAUUACUGGACGAUAACUGACGGUGAGGCGCGAAAGCGUGGGGAGC